UACAGAGGGUGCGAGCGUUAAUCGGAAUUACUGGGCGUAAAGCGCGUGUAGGCGGUCGGGCAAGUCGGGUGUGAAAGCCCAGGGCUCAACCCUGGAAGUGCAUUCGAUACUGCCUGGCUAGAGUCCCGGAGAGGAUGGUGGAACUCUCGGUGUAGAGGUGAAAUUCGUAGAUAUCGAGAAGAACACCGGUGGCGAAGGCGGCCAUCUGGACGGUGACUGACGCUGAGACGCGAAAGCGUGGGGAGCAAACAGG
RNAcentral lists this ribosomal RNA (253 nucleotides) under uncultured bacterium. Its description in RNAcentral is "partial 16S ribosomal RNA". It matches the Rfam family "Bacterial small subunit ribosomal RNA", at positions 524 to 776 of the family's 1533-position model. The record is from RNAcentral.